Long non-coding RNA from Vitis riparia (riverbank grape), 514 nucleotides. RefSeq lists it as uncharacterized. Lineage: Eukaryota; Viridiplantae; Streptophyta; Magnoliopsida; Vitales; Vitaceae. The record is from RefSeq and is a predicted model, not a curated record. The transcript is spliced from 2 exons.
CUCCUGUUCAGAAAGACAUUAUAAGCCCUUGAACAUUGUGAACAAAAGCAUCACUAACAGCUAUAUAAUCAGAUGAAGCUGCAGAUCAUGAGUAAGAGGAGGGGAUUGGAUUCAAGAGUCAAUAUGGGUGUAGCUUCCUUCUUUCGUUGGAUGAUUCUAGUCAUCUUCAUUGCUUCGAUCUUCACUAUUCAUAUGGCUGAGGGACUUUCAGCUUUGGCAGAUCCCAUCCGAAAGACAAUUCGCAGAGAGAUGGCAAGCCCUCCCCCACCUCCCAUUCCAGGCAAAUUAAAGAAUCAGAACCCACCUGAGAGUCCAGCUCCUACACCUGGAUUGUUUUAAGACCAUAGAAGGAAGUAAUAAAAGUUCUACAAGUACUAGUAGUCUGUUGGGAGGUUAAUUCCCUUAACUAGCUAGUUUGCCAUAAAAAUGACUGAUUGAUGCCUCGUGCUCUUUCUUUCCAUUGAUUUAUGUAUCAACUAUUUCCAUCUGCAACAUGUUGACAUGGUUAUGUUUA